Long non-coding RNA from Oreochromis aureus, 1188 nucleotides. The record is from Ensembl. Lineage: Eukaryota; Metazoa; Chordata; Actinopteri; Cichliformes; Cichlidae.
GAAGUAGUGCAAACAGAAGACUUGGUCUGAGUGUAGAGUCCAUGUGUGAGCAGUCAGAGUGCCCAUGCUGACCCCGUCCACCACCAAAAAACCAACAAUGUGAGCAUAAACUGGACCACAGAGCAUGGAAGGAGGUGAACUCGUCUCACGUGGAUGGCCAGGUGUGUGUGUGCAUUGCUUACCUGGGGAACACCUGACACCAGGAAGAAGGAUAAUGCACUAAUGCACAGAAACGGUUUGAGGAGCACAACAACCAGUUUGAGGUGUUGACUUGGCCUCCAGAUUCCCCGGAUCUCGGUCCAGUGGAGCAUCUGUGGGAUGUGCUGGACACACAGUCCGAUCCACGGAGGCCAACCUCACAGCUUACAGGACUGACAGGACCUGCUGCUGACACGUUGGUGCAGAUACCACAGCACGCCCUCAGGGGUCGAGCGGAGGCCACGCCUUGAUGGGUCAGGGGGAGCGACGCAGGUGAUCAUAAUGUUAUGUCUGCUAAAAGUUUAUAUCUGUAUAAACGUUUGUUGUUACUCCCCAGCCGCAGCCUGAUCCUUCCCUCCCUCCAUACUGAAUCUCAGUUUAACUGUCUGUAACCUGUUGCAGUUCCACCACUAACAGGCAGGGGGCAGCACAGGCGAUAAACGAGCAAACGCAUCUUUAAAUGAGCAGCUUUGUUGUUGCUUAGAGAAGGAAAGAGGAGUGGUUCCUCUCCACUGGGUGAUGACAUCAUCGCACCUGUGAGGAGACAGGUGAGCGAACGUGCCGACGCUCCCCAAUUAUCACAAGUGACACCGUGUCAGCAAAUUAGAUCGUUGCUCAACGACGCCUGGAGUGUCGGUGAGCAGCGGGAGGCCCGGCAGACCUCCAGCAGCAUCCAUCUGACACACACACACACACACACACACACACACACACACACACACACACACACACACACACACACACCCCUUCCCUGCUAUUCCUUUUAUGUCUCUCACGCACACGAACACACACUCAUGGACAUUACCUGCCUCUCAGCCCAAGUUACCUUCAUGUGAUUUAUGACUUAUUGCUGUCAUUAAUCAGCACACAUGUGGCUCUGCUGGCUGUCUGAAAUAUUACACAACUUGUGCGAGGCCUUUAAAUGUCUGAUGUGAAGCAGGUCGACUCGUUUGGUGCUGCAGACAAUUAAAGAAUAAAGAAAACACACCU